This is a non-coding RNA of Mannheimia haemolytica M42548, 73 nucleotides long. Lineage: Bacteria; Pseudomonadati; Pseudomonadota; Gammaproteobacteria; Pasteurellales; Pasteurellaceae. The record is from Rfam.
GACCGCAUAGUUCAGUGGAUAGAGCAGCUGCCUUCUAAGCAGUGGGUCGAGAGUUCGAAUCUCUCUGCGGUCG